GGAGCUACGAGGUGGAAGGGUGGAGAGACUGCUGCGCGCCAGCGGUUGAAGAUACUUAAAUUUGCGUUUCUGGAACUUACGGGAAAUUUUGAUUCAUUACCCGAAGUGAGACAGUGUGAGGUCGAUAUAAGCGUGUGUAGAUCAGUGAAUUAUCCUUGGAUAGUUUUACCUUCAAAGAGGGAUAGGUGAAUUCUUCUCCCGUGGAAGUGUGAGAAGGGGAUCGGAAGCAGAUGUGGCAGAAGGGAGCAUAGACCGCCUUCCAGGGUACAGG
Molecule: non-coding RNA, 271 nt
Organism: Penaeus vannamei (Pacific white shrimp)
Lineage: Eukaryota; Metazoa; Arthropoda; Malacostraca; Decapoda; Penaeidae
Source: RefSeq, a predicted model, not a curated record